CUCUCCCUGCCGGGUUCGUGAUGUGUUGUGAAAUCCGAGCCUACCUUUCAACCGGGGAGGCUUCACUGGGAUGCCAUGUGCAUGCCCCUUUGCAGGGGAAGCCUACGGCACCUCACAGGCCGCCCACCUGAGCAAUCAGGGUUCGGUUGAAGCGACCCACACGGCCCAGGCGGGGUUUUU
Molecule: non-coding RNA, 180 nt
Filed under: Deltaproteobacteria bacterium
Lineage: Bacteria; Pseudomonadati; Myxococcota; Myxococcia
Description: 6S RNA
Rfam family: 6S / SsrS RNA
About the family: E. coli 6S RNA was the first non coding RNA to be sequenced, but its function was unknown until recently. It consists of 184 nucleotides that fold into an extended hairpin structure with a large single-stranded internal bulge.
Source: RNAcentral